This 490-nucleotide ribosomal RNA is filed under the name uncultured bacterium. RNAcentral's name for it is "partial 16S ribosomal RNA". It matches the Rfam family "Bacterial small subunit ribosomal RNA", at positions 29 to 507 of the family's 1533-position model. The record is from RNAcentral.
AUUGAACGCUGGCGGCAGGCCUAACACAUGCAAGUCGAACGGUAACAGGAAGAAGCUUGCUUCUUUGCUUACGAGUGGCGGACGGGUGAGUAAUGUCUGGGAAACUGCCUGAUGGAGGGGGAUAACUACUGGAAACGGUAGCUAAUACCGCAUAACGUCGCAAGACCAAAGAGGGGGACCUUCUGUCCUCUUGCCUUCGGAUUUGCCCAGAUGGGAUUAGCUAGUAGGUUGGGUAACGUCUCACCUAGGCAACGAUCCCUACCUGGUCUGAGAGGAUGACCAGCAAGACUGGAACUGAGACACGGACCAGACUCCUACGGGAGGCAGCAGAGGGGAAUAUUGCAGAAUGGGCGAAAGCAUGAUGCAGAAAGGCGGAGUGUAUGAAGAAGGACUUAGGGUUGUAAAGUAAGUUCAGCGGGGAGGAAGGGAGUAAAGAUAAAAACAGGGCUAAUUGACGUUAACAGAAGAAGAAGCAACGGCUAACUACGUG